Molecule: transfer RNA, 76 nt
Filed under: Blattabacterium sp. (Periplaneta americana) str. BPLAN
Lineage: Bacteria; Pseudomonadati; Bacteroidota; Flavobacteriia; Flavobacteriales; Blattabacteriaceae
Description: tRNA-Val (TAC) (tRNA-Val-TAC-1-1)
Rfam family: tRNA
About the family: Transfer RNA (tRNA) molecules are approximately 80 nucleotides in length.
Source: Rfam by way of RNAcentral
GGGCAAUUAGCUCAGCAUGGUUUAGAGCACCUGUUUUACAAGCAGGGGGGCACUGGUUCAAAUCCAGUAUUGCCCA